RNAcentral lists this ribosomal RNA (313 nucleotides) under uncultured bacterium. RNAcentral's name for it is "bacterial SSU rRNA". It matches the Rfam family "Bacterial small subunit ribosomal RNA", at positions 28 to 334 of the family's 1533-position model. The record is from RNAcentral.
GAUGAACGCUGGCGGCGUGCCUAACACAUGCAAGUCGAACGGACUUAAUUUGAAACCUAGUGAUAAUUAAGUGAGUGGCGGACGGGUGAGUAACGCGUGGAUAACCUGCCGUAUGCAGGGGGAUACCAACUGGAAACAGUUGCUAAUACCGCAUAAGCGCACGGUGUCGCAUGACACAGUGUGAAAAGGUUUAACGGCAUACGAUGGAUCCGCGUCCGAUUAGCCAGUUGGCGGGGUAACGGCCCACCAAAGCGACGAUCGGUAGCCGGCCUGAGAGGGCGGACGGCCACAUUGGGACUGAGACACGGCCCAA